Paramuricea clavata is the source of this 915-nucleotide non-coding RNA. The record is from the annotation of a GenBank genome assembly. NCBI's taxonomy places the organism in Eukaryota, Metazoa, Cnidaria, Anthozoa, Malacalcyonacea, Plexauridae.
UAUUUCUUACGUUGCCAGGAAAAUAUCAAAAUCUGUAGGUAUUAUAUACAAAGCGAGUUUUUUCCUGUCCAAAUCUACUUUACGUAAGUUAUAUUUUUCUCUAGUCUACCCUUACUUACAGUAUUGUAUAACUGUACGGGGUUCUACGUACCCCACUAAUCUUAAUCGUAUUAUUCUACUUCAAAAGCGUAUUAUUAGGAUACUCGAUAAACAACCAUUUGAUGCACAUACUGAUCCGCUUUUUAUUAAGUUAAAAAUUCUUAAGUUCGAUUGGAUUUAUUUGCAUCAUCUUGGAAAAUUCAUGUAUCAAUAUCACAACGGCUUACUACCUAGAAGUUUUGACAAUUUCUUCCUACCUGUGAACCAAGUUCAUAAUUAUUUCACACGGUCGACUAAUCUGUAUCAAUUAUCGUUCUGUAGGACUAAUAUUAGAAAAUUUUCUGUCUCUUAUCAAGCUCCUAAAUUUUUUAAUUCAUUAAGUGAUGACAUACGAAGUGCACCUAGUAUUACGUCAUUCUCUUCUAAAUUAAACAGUUUUCUAUUUACAUUGUGAUAUUGACGUUUGUGAGUGUUUUUAUUUUUUGUGAUUGGUUACUUUCUUUUUUUCUUUUAUUUCUUUCUCGUAUUUAAUUCUGUGUUUGGAUUUAUAUUCUGUGUGACUGACCACUGAUCUAUCAGCUUUAAUUGUGUGAAAAAGGAGCCCAAUAUAAAAUAAGCCUCUUGGUUUCAUUUUGGGCUACCUUGCCUUUAUUUCUUUAUAUUGUUAUAUAAAUAUUUUUUGUUUGUGUGCGUGUGUGUUAAUCGUAAUUAUUAUCUGUAUUCAUUUGGCAAAAUAAAUUUGAUUUGAUUUGAUUUGAGAAAUCGUCGUUUAAAAAUACGUUUUCAACGUUCAUGUUGUGCAAGCCAAAACAUAAC